RNAcentral lists this ribosomal RNA (424 nucleotides) under uncultured eukaryote. RNAcentral describes it as "bacterial SSU rRNA". It matches the Rfam family "Eukaryotic small subunit ribosomal RNA", at positions 20 to 434 of the family's 1831-position model. The record is from RNAcentral.
GUAGUCAUAUGCUUGUCUCAAAGACUAAGCCAUGCAUGUGUUAGUAUGAACUGAUUUUAUAUAGUGAAACUGCGAAUGGCUCAUUACAUCAGUUAUAGUUUAUUUGAUGGAUACGCGUUCAGCACUACAUGGAUACCUGUAGUAACAUAGAGCUAAUACAUGCAUAAGAAUCUGACUUUACGGAAGGAUUUGCACUUAUUAGAUACCAAACCAAUAUCCUCUCGGGGAUUUAUUAGGUGAAUCACAAUAACUGAACAAAUCGCAUAGUCUUGCACUGGCGAUGUAUCAAUCAAGUUUCUGCCCUAUCAACUUGAUGUUAGUGUAUUGUACUAACAUGGUUUUUUACGGGUAACAGAGGAUUAGGGUUCGAUCCUGGAGAAGGAGCAUGAGAAAUGGCUACUAUUUCUAAGGAAAGCAGCAGGCG